RNAcentral lists this ribosomal RNA (400 nucleotides) under uncultured bacterium. RNAcentral describes it as "bacterial SSU rRNA". It matches the Rfam family "Bacterial small subunit ribosomal RNA", at positions 355 to 747 of the family's 1533-position model. The record is from RNAcentral.
UGGGGAAUAUUGGACAAUGGGGGGAACCCUGAUCCAGCCAUGCCGCGUGUGUGAAGAAGGCCUUUUGGUUGUAAAGCACUUUAAGCAGUGAAGAAGAGGUUUUGGCUAAUACCCAAAGCUGAUGACAUUAGCUGCAGAAUAAGCACCGGCUAACUCUGUGCCAGCAGCCGCGGUAAUACAGAGGGUGCGAGCGUUAAUCGGAAUUACUGGGCGUAAAGCGAGCGUAGGUGGCUUGAUAAGUCAGAUGUGAAAGCCCCGGGCUUAACCUGGGAACGGCAUCUGAAACUGUCAGGCUAGAGUAGGUGAGAGGAAGGUAGAAUUCCAGGUGUAGCGGUGAAAUGCGUAGAGAUCUGGAGGAAUACCGAUGGCGAAGGCAGCCUUCUGGCAUCAUACUGACACU